Molecule: small nuclear RNA, 111 nt
Organism: Sceloporus undulatus (fence lizard)
Lineage: Eukaryota; Metazoa; Chordata; Lepidosauria; Squamata; Phrynosomatidae
Source: RefSeq, a predicted model, not a curated record
CUAUUAAAAACACAAAGUCCAAAUGGUUUAAAACACGUUUAAAACAUACAGAGAUUAGGAUGACCUCUGCGCAGGGAUGACACGUAAAUUCAUGAAACCUUCCACAUUCUU